Molecule: ribosomal RNA, 375 nt
Filed under: uncultured organism
Description: partial 16S ribosomal RNA
Rfam family: Bacterial small subunit ribosomal RNA
Source: RNAcentral
GUAGGUGGCAAGCGUUGUCCGGAAUUAUUGGGCGUAAAGCGCGCGCAGGCGGUUCUUUAAGUCUGAUGUGAAAGCCCACGGCUCAACCGUGGAGGGUCAUUGGAAACUGGAGAACUUGAGUACAGAAGAGGAAAGCGGAAUUCCACGUGUAGCGGUGAAAUGCGUAGAGAUGUGGAGGAACACCAGUGGCGAAGGCGGCUUUUCUGGUCUGUAACUGACGCUGAGGCGCGAAAGCGUGGGGAGCAAACAGGGAUUAGAUACCCUGGUAUUCCACGCCGUAAACGAUGAGUGCUAAGUGUUAGGGGGGUUUCCGCCCCCUUAGUGCUGCAGCUAACGCAUUAAGCACUCCGCCUGGGGAGUACGGCCGCAAGGCUG